AUGAUUUUCUGUGUCUAUCUGCCUGCAAUUGACUCUUUUCUCCUUCCCUUCCCUCCCUUUCACUACCUUUCCUUUCCUUUCCUUUCCUUUCCUUUCCUUUCCUUUCCUUUCCUUUCCUUUCCUUACCUUUCCUUUCCUUUCCUUCCCUUCCCUUCCCUUCCCUUCCCUUCCCUUCCCUUCCCUUCCCUUCCCUUCCCUUCCCUUCCCUUCCCUUCCCUUCCCUUCCCUUCCCUUUCCUUCCCUUUCCUUCCCUUUCCUUCCCUUCCCUUCCCUUUCCUUCCCUUACCUUACCUUCCCAUCCCAUCCCUUUCUUUUUUUGACGUGACCUGUUCCAUAGUAUACUAAGUGUAGUGUUAAUCUUAGAGUCCCUGAGAUCAGGUGUGUUCAGGUGAGCUGUUUCCCUAAGGUUAAUCUUAUCAAAUCACACCAGGCCAGGCAGAUGUUUCUAGUUAAUCUCAUUGGAAUAUGAAGGGAUGACCCAAUGUCUAACAUAGUAGAGGUUUUCUUUUGGGAUGAAAUCAGGAUAAAAUAUAGCUUAAGAGUCUUGUAUCUAUUUAAACAAUCCUGCAGGCCACAUUUCUUUGACCUCUAAGGUUACUACUUCUGGGAAAUGCAAUCUCACAGCAUGUAGCUUUUGGUCAUUUCCUCCAUAUAUUUGUCAAAUGUCUAACCAUAUAACUCACCUAUUCAAGAAACUCCUGUGACUGCUAUACCUUAUGGGAAAAAAUGCACAUUAUUCAACUUAGUAUUUACAACCUUUCACAAGAUGAUUCCUGACUACAUAUUCCAGACUUUAUACAUUUUGCACACUUCACACACUCUCUGUGCAUCUGAAUUCAUCUUACUUACUGUUACCCCAAAUCACAAUUCAUCUACUAUAUCUGUACCUUUUCAGUCAGUCCUUUCAUACCUGGAAAUUGCUGUCACCUCCCUUCUGUCUCUCAGUCUCCAUUAAGGCUAAGCUCAAGUAGUAAUUUAUAGGGAAGACAUUCCUGAACCUCCUAAUUGUUAGUAUCCAUCCCCAAAAUAUUCCUAAAUCAUCUUAUCUUUACACAUCUAUGCACAAAGCUGUAUUUUAUCUUAAAAUACAAGCUCAGAGAUGGUAAGGGUAAAUUGUUUUUUUCAGUACCUAGGAUAGCAUUUUUUAUCAGAGAAGGCACUGAAUAAAUGUUUGUUUCUUUCUGUAAUUUGUUGAUAC
Molecule: long non-coding RNA, 1198 nt
Filed under: Monodelphis domestica (gray short-tailed opossum)
Lineage: Eukaryota; Metazoa; Chordata; Mammalia; Didelphimorphia; Didelphidae
Description: lncRNA (ENSMODG00000039162.1)
Source: RNAcentral